ACGAACGCUGGCGGCGUGCUUCACACAUGCAAGUCGCACGGAAAGGCCCUGCUUUUGUGGGGUGCUCGAGUGGCGAACGGGUGAGUAACACGUGAGUAACCUGCCCUUGACUUUGGGAUAACUUCAGGAAACUGGGGCUAAUACCGGAUAGGAGCUCCUGCUGCAUGGUGGGGUUGGAAAGUUUCGGCGGUUGGGGAUGGACUCGCGGCUUAUCAGCUUGUUGGUGGGGUAGUGGCUUACCAAGGCUUUGACGGGUAGCCGGCCUGAGAGGGUGACCGGCCACAUUGGGACUGAGAUACGGCCCAGACUCCUACGGGAGGCAGCAGUGGGGAAUAUUGCACAAUGGGCGGAAGCCUGAUGCAGCAACGCCGCGUGCGGGAUGACGGCCUUCGGGUUGUAAACCGCUUUCGCCUGUGACGAAGCGUGAGUGACGGUAAUGGGUAAAGAAGCACCGGCUAACUACGUG
Molecule: ribosomal RNA, 466 nt
Filed under: uncultured bacterium
Lineage: Bacteria
Description: partial 16S ribosomal RNA
Rfam family: Bacterial small subunit ribosomal RNA
Source: RNAcentral